GUGAACACGGAGCUUGCUCUGUGGGAUCAGUGGCGAACGGGUGAGUAACACGUGAGCAACCUGCCCCUGACUCUGGGAUAAGCGCUGGAAACGGCGUCUAAUACUGGAUAUGUGACGUGACCGCAUGGUCUGCGUCUGGAAAGAAUUUCGGUUGGGGAUGGGCUCGCGGCCUAUCAGCUUGUUGGUGAGGUAAUGGCUCACCAAGGCGUCGACGGGUAGCCGGCCUGAGAGGGUGACCGGCCACACUGGGACUGAGACACGGCCCAGACUCCUACGGGAGGCAGCAGUGGGGAAUAUUGCACAAUGGGCGCAAGCCUGAUGCAGCAACGCCGCGUGAGGGACGACGGCCUUCGGGUUGUAAACCUCUUUUAGCAGGGAAGAAGCGAAAGUGACGGUACCUGCAGAAAAAGCGCCGGCUAACUACGUGCCAGCAGCCGCGGUAAUACGUAGGGCGCAAGCGUUAUCCGGAAUUAUUGGGCGUAAAGAGCUCGUAGGCGGUUUGUCGCGUCUGCUGUGAAAUCCGGAGGCUCAACCUCCGGCCUGCAGUGGGUACGGGCAGACUAGAGUGCGGUAGGGGAGAUUGGAAUUCCUGGUGUAGCGGUGGAAUGCGCAGAUAUCAGGAGGAACACCGAUGGCGAAGGCAGAUCUCUGGGCCGUAACUGACGCUGAGGAGCGAAAGGGUGGGGAGCAAACAGGCUUAGAUACCCUGGUAGUCCACCCCGUAAACGUUGGGAACUAGUUGUGGGGUCCAUUCCACGGAUUCCGUGACGCAGCUAACGCAUUAAGUUCCCCGCCUGGGGAGUACGGCCGCAAGGCUAAAACUCAAAGGAAUUGACGGGGACCCGCACAAGCGGCGGAGCAUGCGGAUUAAUUCGAUGCAACGCGAAGAACCUUACCAAGGCUUGACAUAUACGAGAACGGGCCAGAAAUGGUCAACUCUUUGGACACUCGUAAACAGGUGGUGCAUGGUUGUCGUCAGCUCGUGUCGUGAGAUGUUGGGUUAAGUCCCGCAACGAGCGCAACCCUCGUUCUAUGUUGCCAGCACGUAAUGGUGGGAACUCAUGGGAUACUGCCGGGGUCAACUCGGAAGAAAGUUGGGGAUGACGUCAAAUCAUCAUGCC
This 1121-nucleotide ribosomal RNA is filed under the name uncultured Microbacterium sp. Its description in RNAcentral is "bacterial SSU rRNA". It matches the Rfam family "Bacterial small subunit ribosomal RNA", at positions 68 to 1199 of the family's 1533-position model. The record is from RNAcentral. Lineage: Bacteria; Bacillati; Actinomycetota; Actinomycetes; Micrococcales; Microbacteriaceae.